UUUAGUUAGUCGUGUGUCGCCCGCUGUGCAGUUGCGUUAUUUCUUUUGUAAUUUCUUGUUUGCUGAUAUGAUUUGAUGGUUCUUGGCAGUGUUUAGGCUGAAUAUUUGUUUUAAAAAGUGGUCUGAUAACAAAUGGCUGAUAAUUCAGAAUGAAAGCCUAUUAAUAUUUUGCAGAAGCCUGUGUAACUGUUUUGAUUGUGUUUAGCAUUAUCUCAAACGCUUAUGAUGGCCAAAGUGGGGUUUGAUACUAAUAUUAGAGCAUUUAUUUUGUAUUUUAAUAGUGUUCAAUAUUACCUGGUCAUUUAAAUUUUGCUCAAAAGGACAAAUCGAGACAAAAUAUCCAAUAGCCAGUGUUUUAUGAAAUGUGAAAUGAAGCUAACUGCAUCAGACGGCCCAAAAUUUGUGUGUGAUGUGAAUUUUUGGUGACAAAUAUCUAUCUCACAUCGGACGAUAUCUUCUUUACCUGAUGCAUCUGACGUGCCCAUGGUAUGGAGGGAGCCAACAAAUCACAUCACAGACUGUUACUUCUGUAUGGUGCCUCCUAUUCGAAAAGGGGUGACAAUGAAUAAAACGUGGACAGUGACGUACCCAAAUAUACCAUCUGCAAUUCGCCCCAUGCCUCAUGUGAACUACUACCUAUUCCUGAACCACCUGAAAAUUUUUCUGUAGACUCUGAUGAAGACACUGAUGAUGUCCAUGUUGAGCUUGAUAUAGCCUACACGAAGAAGUACAGCAGCCGUACACGUCAAGGGAUCCACCAUUUUGUACAAGCCUCUAUCCUUCUGAACCACAUAAGAUCACAGAAAGUGAGCUUAAUGACCUCAUCAGGGAUCUCGAACUGCCGAAGAAUAAGCCAGAGCUUUUGGCCUCGAGGCUACAACAGUGUAAUCUUCCAGUUCACUCUGUGAAAGUGACAUUUCGUACUCGAAAUAAAGACUGUGAUAAAUUCUAUCAAACAGAAGGUGAACUCACUGACUUCUUAUGGAAAACUGGGGUGCAACAUGUCAUUGAAGAUGCAUUUCUUGCACUCACACCCGGAUUUCUUCCCGUCAAGCUGUGGUGCCAUCAGCGACGAACAUGGUGGGCGCUUCCAUCAAGACAUCUCAGUGAUGGAACAAAGAUACAAAAGCAAAUGGAGUGCUGCCAUGUUAGCCGAUUAUUGUUGGAUGGUGAAAAGGGAUGCUCCAGAAGCUAAAUACAAGCGAAAGGCGAAAAGGCGCUGUGUUUGAAAAAGAUAAUUCAAGUUUAAUCCACAACCCGGAUAAUCGUCGGUCUACUGUAUGUACGAUUAGGCCGACUCAACCCUUCAUGUUCACAGCCAUUAAAAAUUCGCCUCUGUGAGCGAUUUCCGUCGACUGA
This is a non-coding RNA of Zootermopsis nevadensis, 1359 nucleotides long. NCBI's taxonomy places the organism in Eukaryota, Metazoa, Arthropoda, Insecta, Blattodea, Termopsidae. The record is from RefSeq and is a predicted model, not a curated record.